This 253-nucleotide ribosomal RNA is filed under the name uncultured bacterium. RNAcentral describes it as "partial 16S ribosomal RNA". It matches the Rfam family "Bacterial small subunit ribosomal RNA", at positions 524 to 776 of the family's 1533-position model. The record is from RNAcentral.
UACGUAGGGUGCAGGCGUUAAUCGGAAUUACUGGGCGUAAAGCGUGCGCAGGCGGUUUGCUAAGACAGGUGUGAAAUCCCCGGGCUUAACCUGGGAACUGCGCUUGUUACUGGCAGGCUUGAGUGUGGCAGAGGGGGGUGGAAUUCCACGUGUAGCAGUGAAAUACGUAGAGAUGUGGAGGAACACCGAUGGCGAAGGCAGCCCCCUGGGCUAACACUGACGCUCAUGCACGAAAGCGUGGGGAGCAAACAGG